RNAcentral lists this ribosomal RNA (460 nucleotides) under uncultured bacterium. RNAcentral's name for it is "partial 16S ribosomal RNA". It matches the Rfam family "Bacterial small subunit ribosomal RNA", at positions 338 to 795 of the family's 1533-position model. The record is from RNAcentral.
CCUACGGGAGGCUGCAGUGAGGAAUAUUGGUCAAUGGCCGUAAGGCUGAACCAGCCAAGUAGCGUGAGGGAAGACUGCCCUAUGGGUUGUAAACCUCUUUUAUGCGGGGAUAAAGGUGUCCACGUGUGGAUGUUUGCAGGUACCGCAUGAAUAAGGACCGGCUAAUUCCGUGCCAGCAGCCGCGGUAAUACGGAAGGUCCGGGCGUUAUCCGGAUUUAUUGGGUUUAAAGGGAGCGUAGGCCGGUCUUUAAGCGUGCCGGGAAAUUUUGUGGCUCAACCCUGAGAGUGCGGCGCAAACUGGAGACCUUGAGUGCGCGGAAGGCAGGCGGAAUUCGUGGUGUAGCGGUGAAAUGCUUAGAUAUCACGAAGAACCCCGAUUGCGAAGGCAGCCUGCCGCAGCGUUACUGACGCUGAAGCUCGAAAGCGCGGGUAUCGAACAGGAUUAGAUACCCGUGUAGUC